GGAACGAUACUGAGGGCAUUAAAACCAGUACAUCCGCGUCAACACUGAAGAGGCCUCGAAUCUAUUGGACGCAGGGUUGCCACCAAAAGUUUGUUGAGGCCAUGAACAGAAUCAACAAGGGGAAGAAAGGACGAUUUGGAAACAAUGGAUCGCCAGAGGUCGAGAUUUUGAUGAGAUGCAAAAGAUGGGUGUUAUGAGUCUUACUCGAGAAAUUGUCCACAGACACCUUCAGAAACACGGGACAGAUAGGAAGAAGCAACGACACUCCUCGGAGCGACAAAAUGGGCACCCUGGCCCGAUCAGUUGGUCAAGCCCAGGCCAAUAUGCGUAUCUAAUGAUCGAGUCGAAUCCCCCAGCGGCAACUUCUCCUAAUCAUGAGCAUGUCCAUUCUCAGAACUUUGCAAAUGGUCACGCGCCCUACUGCUACUUCCUAUGGACCAACAAGUGGGUCCACUUCCUGUAGCCCCAAUGACCCUACAGCUCAUAUUGCAGCUGAACCAUAAUGUUGUCGGGAACUCAAGUUCUCACCAUGUCAUUGAAUCAGCUGUCCCUGCAAAACUGCAGUUUAGGCCUCCCUCAGUUUUUCCGGCGACUGAUCACUAUCAGUUAAUCAGGAACUGAGGUCCUCAUCACAUGUGAUUGGAUCAGCUGCCCCAGUGAACCUGCAAAUGAGGCCUCCCUCAGUCUCUCCUGCAAAUGACACACCGUCAGUAUAAAAGAGCUGGAUUGGGAACAACUCGGUUUUGAAUAUGUUGGUGAUGAUCUGGCUUGACUCAGCAUUUGAAGCGAGAAACCAAUUGGGAAUGUAGAACUGCUUGAAAUAUGAGACAUUAGCUUGUGAAAUUACGAAACUAUUCAAGACGGUGGAUAUGAAUCAGCUGGUGAUUCAUUGAUAUUUCAACAUAAAAGGAUCAGCUUGUUGUGAGAAAGGUCGUCUUAAUUCCAGGUAUCAGAACCUUGACGAACGAUUUAUUCUGGAGUUUAAGUGUAAUUUUGGAGCUCUUGCUUGAUUAUUUGAUGUUGUGGAACGAAUUUGUGCUGAUCUAUCGCGAGAAGAUUGGAGCGAUCUCUGCGAGAUUCAAAGAGAAAAACAAAAACUGUAAUACAAUUGAGCUCUGUUCAUUGUAGUGGACUGCUGCUCUGUUCACUGCAGAAGCAUAACUUC
Molecule: non-coding RNA, 1165 nt
Organism: Punica granatum (pomegranate)
Lineage: Eukaryota; Viridiplantae; Streptophyta; Magnoliopsida; Myrtales; Lythraceae
Source: RefSeq, a predicted model, not a curated record